GGCCUGGCGGCAGGAGGUGGGACGAGAUGCAGACUUCAGCCCCGAGUCUGGCUUACUUCAGGAUCCCUCAGGGCUGUCUCACCUCAGAGGCAGCGUGGGACCCCAGGCCACACCUUGUUUGCAGGCCUCGCCUAGAUCGUGGUAACAGCCAGAACUCAACAAUUUCUCCAAGUCAGCCUCCCCGCGGGCCGGAGUGGGGACUGAGACCAACAUGCACCCUCAUCUGUGGGCACGCAGGGACACAGCAAGUCCAGAAUGCCAAGAGGGAAAUCAAAACAGCUUUUCCUGCCUGGGAAACAGUAACAACCACUUCAGAGUGAUCACUGCCCGGCCACGCACAGCCUGGAGGAGCCCAUGUCCUAUUAGGGUAUCGGCUUUGCCUCCGAUUAUCUGGCAAAUAAACCAAUUUAGGAGUCCACCAGGGUCUUUCUGGCCACCUCUCCAGGGCCCUGGCUGGGCCAGUCCUGUCUUCAUUUCCAUACAGCCAGCAUCCUCAGUGAGAUGGAGAAAUGUCAUUAUUUACCAAGAAACCAAGAUCUGAAAAUGGCAAUUACUCGGCAGGUCAGCAGAAAGCCCCAGGAUACUUCUCUCCCCAGGAUUCAGCCAGCAGCUCGGAGCUGGAAGACACAGCCAGUGCCCACCCCACAGGCUCCCACCCCCUGUGAACUCACGUCCCAUUGGUUUACAAAAACGAGUAUGUAUCCCCCCCACAAAUACAUAUUCAUGCCUCCAAAUGUAAGUCUAUUGCAUACUUUAUAAAAUACAAACUGAAAAGUGGCAGUAAAAUGCAGAUAUAAACAUGA
Long non-coding RNA from Pan troglodytes (chimpanzee), 803 nucleotides. RefSeq lists it as uncharacterized. The record is from RefSeq and is a predicted model, not a curated record. Lineage: Eukaryota; Metazoa; Chordata; Mammalia; Primates; Hominidae. The transcript is spliced from 2 exons.